RNAcentral lists this unclassified non-coding RNA (254 nucleotides) under uncultured Solibacteraceae bacterium. Its description in RNAcentral is "contains 16S-23S intergenic spacer region". It matches the Rfam family "Bacterial small subunit ribosomal RNA", at positions 524 to 776 of the family's 1533-position model. Lineage: Bacteria; Pseudomonadati; Acidobacteriota; Terriglobia; Bryobacterales; Solibacteraceae. The record is from RNAcentral.
UACGUAGGCAGCGAGCGUUGUUCGGAGUUACUGGGCGUAAAGCGUGCGUAGGCGGUUUUCUAAGUCUGGUGUGAAAUCUCCCGGCUUAACUGGGAGGGUGCGCCGGAUACUGGAAGGCUUGGAGUGCGGGAGAGGUAAGCGGAAUUCCUGGUGUAGCGGUGAAAUGCGUAGAUAUCAGGAGGAACACCGGCGGUGUAGACGGCUUACUGGACCGUGACUGACGCUGAGGCACGAAAGCGUGGGGAGCAAACAGG